RNAcentral lists this ribosomal RNA (497 nucleotides) under uncultured bacterium. Its description in RNAcentral is "partial 16S ribosomal RNA". It matches the Rfam family "Bacterial small subunit ribosomal RNA", at positions 28 to 507 of the family's 1533-position model. The record is from RNAcentral.
GACGAACGCUGGCGGCGUGCCUAAUACAUGCAAGUUGAGCGCUGAAGGUUGGUACUUGUACCAACUGGAUGAGCAGCGAACGGGUGAGUAACGCGUGGGGAAUCUGCCUUUGAGCGGGGGACAACAUUUGGAAACGAAUGCUAAUACCGCAUAAAAACUUUAAACACAAGUUUUAAGUUUGAAAGAUGCAAUUGCAUCACUCAAAGAUGAUCCCGCGUUGUAUUAGCUAGUUGGUGAGGUAAAGGCUCACCAAGGCGAUGAUACAUAGCCGACCUGAGAGGGUGAUCGGCUACAAUGGGACUGAGACGCGGCCCAAACUCCUACGGGAGGCAGCAGUAGGGAAUCUUCGGCAAUGGACGAAAGUCUGACCGAGCAACGCCGCGUGAGUGAAGAAGGGUUUCGGAUCGUAAAACUCUGUUGGUAGAGAAGAACGUUGGUGAGAGUGGAAAGCUCAUCAAGUGACGGUAACUACCCAGAAAGGGACGGCUAACUACGUG